Molecule: ribosomal RNA, 484 nt
Filed under: uncultured bacterium
Lineage: Bacteria
Description: partial 16S ribosomal RNA
Rfam family: Bacterial small subunit ribosomal RNA
Source: RNAcentral
ACUCAAAUGAAUAGACGGGGGCUCGCACAAGCGGUGGAGCGUGUGGCUUAAUUCGUCGCUAAACGAAGAACCUUACCAAGGUUAGAAAUCCAGCUGCAUACUGCGGAAACGUAGUAGCCUUCGAGGGUGCUGGACAGGUGAUGCAUGGCUGUCGUCAGUUCGUGGUUUGAACUGUUCCCUUCAGUGGGGUAACGAACGCAACCCUUGUUGUCUGUUACACGUAUCAGGCGAGACUGCCCCCUCACGGGGGAGGAAGGUAAGGAUGACGCCAAGUCAGCAUGUCCCUCUGAUAUCUUGGGCCGCACACGCGCUACAAUGGCAUGAACAACGGGACGCGAAGCCGCGAGGCGGAGCAAAUCCUUCAAAUCAUGCCUCAGUUCGGAUUGUAGGCUGCAACUCGCCUACAUGAAGCUGGAAUCGCUAGUAAUCGUGGGUCAGCUAUACCACGGUGAAUACGUUCUCGAGCCUUGUACACACCGCCCGU